UUCGCAAUGCCCGAAAGGGUGACGAAGCGACGCCGCGUGGGUGAGGAAGGCCCUCGGGUUGUAAAGCCCUGUCAGGAGUUAAGAAAUGUAAGUGCGCUAAUAUCGCAUUUAUUUGACGAAGGCUCCAAAGGAAGCCACGGCUAACUCUGUGCCAGCAGCCGCGGUAAUACAGAGGUGGCAAGCGUUGUUCGGAAUUAUUGGGCGUAAAGAGCACGUAGGUGGGUUUGUAAGUCAGAUGUGAAAGCCUUCUGUUCAACGGAAGAAUUGCAUCUGAAACUACAAGUCUUGAGUGUAGGAGGGGAGAAUGGAACUUCUGGUGGAGCGGUGAAAUGCGUAGAUAUCAGAAUGAACGCCGGCGGCGAAAGCGAUUCUCUGGCCUAUUACUGACACUCAGUGUGCGAAAGCUAGGGGAGCAAACGGGAUUAGAUACCCCGGUAGUCCUAGCCGUAAACGAUGGGCACUAAGUAGAGGGGUUUU
RNAcentral lists this ribosomal RNA (477 nucleotides) under Candidatus Scalindua brodae. Its description in RNAcentral is "bacterial SSU rRNA". It matches the Rfam family "Bacterial small subunit ribosomal RNA", at positions 365 to 832 of the family's 1533-position model. Lineage: Bacteria; Pseudomonadati; Planctomycetota; Candidatus Brocadiia; Candidatus Brocadiales; Candidatus Scalinduaceae. The record is from RNAcentral.